AUUGAACGCUGGCGGCAGGCCUAACACAUGCAAGUCGAACGGUAGCACAGAGAGCUUGCUCUCGGGUGACGAGUGGCGGACGGGUGAGUAAUGUCUGGGAAACUGCCCGAUGGAGGGGGAUAACUACUGGAAACGGUAGCCAAUACCGCAUAACGUCGCAAGACCAAAGUGGGGGACCUUCGGGCCUCACACCAUCGGAUGUGCCCAGAUGGGAUUAGCUAGUAGGUGGGGUAAUGGCUCACCUAGGCGACGAUCCCUAGCUGGUCUGAGAGGAUGACCAGCCACACUGGAACUGAGACACGGUCCAGACUCCUACGGGAGGCAGCAGUGGGGAAUAUUGCACAAUGGGCGCAAGCCUGAUGCAGCCAUGCCGCGUGAAUGAAGAAGGCCUUCGGGUUGUAAAGUACUUUCAGCGGGGAGGAAGGCGGUGGAGUUAAUAACUUCACCGAUUGACGUUACCCGCAGAAGAAGCACCGGCUAACUCCGUGCCAGCCGCCGCGGUAA
This 504-nucleotide ribosomal RNA is filed under the name uncultured bacterium. Its description in RNAcentral is "partial 16S ribosomal RNA". It matches the Rfam family "Bacterial small subunit ribosomal RNA", at positions 29 to 523 of the family's 1533-position model. The record is from RNAcentral.